RNAcentral lists this unclassified non-coding RNA (173 nucleotides) under uncultured Glomerella. RNAcentral's name for it is "sequence contains ITS1". The record is from RNAcentral. Lineage: Eukaryota; Fungi; Ascomycota; Sordariomycetes; Glomerellales; Glomerellaceae.
CUGAGUUACCGCUCUACAACCCUUUGUGAACAUACCUAACUGUUGCUUCGGCGGGCAGGAGGACCCCCCGGGGUCCCCCUCCCGGCCGCGCCCCCCCGGGGCGUGGCGCCCGCCGGAGGAUACCAAACCCUAUUUUAACGACGUUUCUUCUGAGUGGCACAAGCAAAUAAUUA